RNAcentral lists this ribosomal RNA (5317 nucleotides) under Fujientomon dicestum. RNAcentral's name for it is "28S ribosomal RNA". The stretch from base 1097 to 5317 matches the Rfam family "Eukaryotic large subunit ribosomal RNA". The record is from RNAcentral. Lineage: Eukaryota; Metazoa; Arthropoda; Protura; Sinentomata; Fujientomidae.
UAUAAGCGGAGGAAAAGAAAACAACAGUGAUUCCCUUAGUAGCGGCGAGCGAAACGGGAUAAGCCCAGCACCGAAUCCCUUCCUUGGCAAAUCCGGGAAAGUGAAAUGUGGUGUUAGGGAAGGAUCAAUCAUGCCCUUUGCUUUUGCUUGUGACUCAAGUCCGAUCGAAAGCGGUGGCCUCUCUGCCCAUAGAGGGUGAUAGGCCCGUAGGGUAUGUGCUUUAGCAAUGGAGCGAUCCUUUCCGUGGAGUCGGGUUGCUUGAAAUUGCAGCCCUAAGUGGGAGGUAAACUCCUCCUAAGGCUAAAUACUGCUCAGUAACCGAUAGCGAACAAGUACCGCGAGGGAAAGUUGAAAAGAACUCUGAAGAGAGAGUUCAAGAGUGCGUGAAACUGCUCAGGGGUAAACGGGUGGAACUGCCGAAAGUCGAACUUGAAGAUCUCAGGGCUUUCGAUAGGCUCCGAUUGUGACUGCUUUGGCAACUUGAGCUGAGACUACGUCAGUUGUUUUAGCUCGUUGUCUUUGAUGUGACAUGAUCGUUGAGCUCGUUGAAAGUCUGUAAGGCUUCAUCAGUAGGACGCUGCAACCUUUUAGACUGGUAAUCGGGUAGCCCAGGGGAUUUGCUCUGUGGACACCUUUGCAUGUGCUGUAAAGUAUGUGUAGAGGUGGGCAAGUUGGCGCUCGCAUUUAUUUGCUUGUGUCAGGCCCCUUUGGUUAGUUACUAGUUUACUGUCUGAUUGUUGUCAACGAAUGGUUGCCAAGGCUCGCGAUGUUUAUUCAUUGCUUGAGCUUCGUAAGAUGCUUGUCAGUGCGGCCAGGAUUGAGGUUUUGGUUUGAACCUGUAAUGGGUUCCCAGACUUUGGACAUUCCUGCAAAGGAUUCCGGGCUGUAUACACUUGAUGAGUUUGUCUUGCAGGUAGCUAGUCGUGCAGCGAGUAGGAAUGCUGUUCCCCCCGACCCGUCUUGAAACACGGACCAAGAAGUCUAACUUGUGCGCGAGUCAAUGGGUUAUCAAACCCCACGGCGUAGCGAAAGCGAAGGUCUUGCUUGCGAGACUGAGGGAAGAUCCGCAAUGAAAAACUUGCGGCGCAUUCCCGGGGUACCUGUUGUUGAGUGGCUUCGGCUAUUCCGGCAGGUGCACCUUGAGCGCACAGGUUGGUACCCGAAAGAUGGUGAUCUAUACCCGGCCAGGAUGAAGCCAGGGGAAACUCUGGUGGAAGUCCGCAGCGAUUCUGACGUGCAAAUCGAUCGUCUGAGCUGGGUAUAGGGGCGAAAGACUAAUCGAACCAUCUAGUAGCUGGUUCCCUCCGAAGUUUCCCUCAGGAUAGCUGUCACUCGUGCUUGGGCCAGAUUCUCACCCGGUAAAGCGACUGAUUAGAGGCUUACUGGGCCGCAAUGGCCUAGACCUAUUCUCAAACUUUAAAUGGGUGAGAUGCGUUGGCUCCCUUAACGGUCGAGCCGACGUUUCUUUUAGGAUCUGUGAGUGACUAGUGGGCCACUUUUGGUAAGCAGAACUGGCGCUGUGGGAUGAACCAAACGUCAGGUUAAGGCGCCCGAGUCAACGCGCAUCAGACACCAUUAAAGGCGUCGGUGGCUAAAGACAGCAGGACGGUGGCCAUGGAAGUCGGCAUCCGCUAAGGAGUGUGUAACGACUCACCUGCCGAAGCGACCGGCCCUGAAAAUGGAUGGCGCUGCAGCGUUGAGCCUAUACCUGACCGCCAGGGCAUAUGCAGUUGAGCCUGAGUCGGGUAAUACUGAUUCGGUUCCUGUGUGAGGCUCUGGCGAGUAGGAGGGAGCGCAGUGGUAGCGUAGAAGGGGACUGGGCGUGAGCCCGCCUGGAGCUUCCACUGGUGCAGAUCUUGGUGGUAGUAGCAAAUAUUCCGGAAAGGCCCCGGAGGACUGAGGCGGAGAAAGGUUUCGCGUGAACAGCUGUUGGACGCGAGUCAGUCGAUCCUAAGCUCUAGGGGAAACCCAAAAUGGAGGGGCAGCGAUUGGCUCGUUGUUGAAUAAGCUUUUGAAUAUCUCACUGAAUCAUGUUAGUUUAAUUGCAUGUAAAGUUACCGUUUGAUCGCUGUCUGUGAUCUUGUGUGUACCCUUUACUGAACCACUAACUAUUCUCACUUGGGAAUGCUCCCAACCAAUGGACCCGAUCUUGUCAUUGCCUUGGUAAUAACAGUACUUUUCCUUCAGCCUGGCAUUAGAUGUGGGCUGUUUCAAUAUUUUUGUUGUAACAGUACUUUUCCUUCUGCCAGAGUGGUCGAUGUGGGCUGUUGUUUUUGGUAACAGUACUUUUCCCUCUGCCUGGCAUUAGAUGUGGGCUGUUUCAAUAUUUUUGUUGUAACAGUACUUUUCCUUCUGCCAGAGCGGUCGACGUGGGCUGUUGCACCUGGUAAGGCGAGUUGUUUUGUUCAUGUUGGUUGAGCUGACUGAGGGGAUAGGUCACUGAACACUCCCAACCAAUGGACCCGAUCUUGUCAUUGCCUUGGUAAUAACAGUACUUUUCCUUCUGCCUGGCAUUAGAUGUGGGCUGUUUCAAUAUUUUUGUUGUAACAGUACUUUUCCUUCUGCCAGAGUGGUCGAUGUGGGCUGUUGUUUUUGGUAACAGUACUUUUCCCUCUGCCUGGCAUUAGAUGUGGGCUGUUUCAAUAUUUUUGUUGUAACGGUACUUUUCCUUCUGCCAGAGCGGUCGACGUGGGCUAUUGCACCUGGUAAGGCGAGUUGUUUUGUUCAUGUUGGUUGAGUUGAAGGUGUUUUGGUAAGGUAUAAGUGUGUGUGCAUAAUUGUAUCGCGGGUGAACACUCAGUAAAUGCUGUCUGUGUUUAUGUGUGCUGUGGGCUACAUGUACGUUGUCUGGUGAUGCUCCACAAACGACGCUCCUGACAUUGAUGAACCUGAUAGCUUGCUGUCCCAUGUAAUCGCUCCUGCCGUUUCUUCGAAAUGGGACAGUUGAGUUUAGUUACAUUUUGCGGCACAAGUUGUUCUUUGUUCUCUGUUGGUCGAUUACGUUUUGUUCUGUGUUGAAGAUCCCAUUGAUAUAGUUUACAUUGUGUGUCUGCACGCUUACAUUUGCGCGGGUAUUUGCCGUGAAGGAGACUUAAUAACAUGUUUGAUUGAGCUUGAUUGAUUCCAAUUUUAUGCAACCUGCCGGACAUCGUCCAAGGGCCUAGCGCGGGCUUGAACUUUAACAAAUUUAAACUACAAUUCGAUUGGCGCUCUGCUUUGAGAACUGUUCUAAGUAGACACAGAGGCAUAGUGGCGUGUUUGUGUCGGCUUGCAGUUACUGACUGUAUUGAGCAUCCGAUCUUGAGUUGUUUUAGUUAUAACAGGGACAUUUGAUUUGCCGCUCGAUAUUUUGAGAACUGUUCUAAGUAGACACAGAGGCAUAGUGGCGUGUUUGUGUCGGCUUGCAGUUACUGACUAUAUUGAGAUGGUUCAGAUCGAGAGUUGUAGUUAUAACCUUUAGAUUUGACUGUGCUUGCUGCAGUGCAUUUGUGCUUUUGUCGAUGAUGUGUUUGGUAUGCGUUUGUGUGAAAGGGUACAGUGAGGUGUUUGAGCUAUUUCCAAUUGAAGCAAAUCAAUGUGUACUUCGUUGCAAAUAGAGCGAAAGGGAAUCCGGCCAAAAUUCCGGAACCUGGCAGCGGAACCGAUGACCCGAAUGGGUUGCGGGCCCUUGGGAAGUUCACUUCAUUGUGUUCUUGCCUAGCUCGUCACGGUAACGUGACAAAACCCGGAGACGCUGACGGGGGCCUCUGGAAGAGUUUUCUUUUCUCCAGAAGCAACCGAGGCCCUGGAAACCUCUUGGAGGGAGAUAGGGUUUUGGUUUUUGCGAGGAACGUCGCCAACACGGGGCGGCGUCAGGGGAACUCCCGUCUGGCCCUUGAAAAUCCGGGCGAGGGGCACGUGGAGGUGUCGCGCCAGAUCGUACUUUAUCCGCAGCAGGUCUCCGAGGUGCAUAGCCUCUUGUCGAUAGAAUAAUGUAGGUAAGGGAAGUCGGCAAAUUAGAUCCGUAACUUCGGGAUAAGGAUUGGCUCCGAAGAUCGGGGCGCUGGCCGGGCUUAGUGGCAUUAAUUUGCUUUCUGAGCCAGAGGAGAUGGGUGAGUGCUGCGCUGGCUUCUUAACUGAGGUAGGCGUGGGCGUUCCCUGUUUUCCCGGCCGCCCAAAACGAUCAUACUCGGAACUGGCACGACCAGGGGGAAUCCGACUGUCUAAUUAAAACAAAGCAUUGCGAUUGGCCCCAAAUGGGUGUUAACGCAAUGUGAUUUCUGCCCAGUGCUCUGAAUGUCAAUGUGAAGAAAUUCAACGAAGCGCGGGUUAACGGCGGGAGUAACUAUGACUCUCUUAAGGUAGCCAAAUGCCUCGUCAUCUAAUUAGUGACGCGCAUGAAUGGAUUAACGAGAUUCCCACUGUCCCUACCUACUAUCUAGCGAACCCACAGCCAAGGGAACGGGCUUGGGAAAGUCAGCGGGGAAAGAAGACCCUGUUGAGCUUGACUCUAGUCUGGCAUUGCGAGGAGACGUGAAAGGUGUAGCAUAGGUGGGAGACUGCAGUCUCUGCAGUCGUCAAUGAAAUACCACUACUUUCGUGCGUUUCCUGGCUAACUCAGUUUUACGGGAUUACGGGGGCAGAGGCUGCGUUAGCAUUAACGUGCUGACGAUUGUGCAUUUGCCUUCAUCUUGUGAGCUGGAAGCAGAUAAGUUCGCCCUACUUGUGAGGGCUUGAGCUACCUGUGACCUGAGCUGAGGACAGUGCCAGGCGGGGAGUUUGACUGGGGCGGUACAUCUGUCAAAUGGUAACGCAGGUGUCCCGAGGCCAGCUCAGCGAGGACAGAAACCUCGCAUAGAGCAAAAGGGCAAAAGCUGGCCGGCUCUGGCUUCCCAGUACGAAGGCAGACCGCGAAAGCGUGGCCUAUUGAUCCUCCGGCAGCAAGAAACCUAACGAGUUUUUAGCUAGAGGUGUCAGAAAAGUUACCACAGGGAUAACUGGCUUGUGGCAGCCAAGCGCUCAUAGCGACGCUGCUUUUUGAUCCUUCGAUGUCGGCUCUUCCUAUCAUCGGGACGCAGAAGUCCCCAAGCGUCGGAUUGUUCACCCGCUAACAGGGAACGUGAGCUGGGUUUAGACCGUCGUGAGACAGGUUAGUUUUACCCUACUGACGCAUGCUUUUGUGCUGUGACUCAGGUUUUUACCGGCUUGAGGAGCGGCCAAGAGUUUAUCGUUGCGACGGGAAUCCUGCAUAGUACGAGAGGAACCGCAGGUUCGGACCAAUGGUUCAGCGCUCGGCCGAUAGGCCGUUGGCGCGAAUCUAUCGUCCGCGGGAAAAGGC